Molecule: ribosomal RNA, 1459 nt
Filed under: uncultured organism
Description: 16S ribosomal RNA
Rfam family: Bacterial small subunit ribosomal RNA
Source: RNAcentral
GACGAACGCUGUCGGCGUGCUUAACACAUGCAAGUCGAACGGAAAGGCCCUGCUUUUGUGGGGUGCUCGAGUGGCGAACGGGUGAGUAACACGUGAGUAACCUGCCCUUGACUUUUGGAUAACUUCAGGAAACUGGGGCUAAUACCGGAUAGGAGCUCCUGCUGCAUGGUGGGGGUUGGAAAGUUUCGGCGGUUGGGGAUGGACUCGCGGCUUAUCAGCUUGUUGGUGGGGUAGUGGCUUACCAAGGCUUUGACGGGUAGCCGGCCUGAGAGGGUGACCGGCCACAUUGGGACUGAGAUACGGCCCAGACUCCUACGGGAGGCAGCAGUGGGGAAUAUUGCACAAUGGGCGGAAGCCUGAUGCAGCAACGCCGCGUGCGGGAUGACGGCCUUCGGGUUGUAAACCGCUUUCGCCUGUGACGAAGCGUGAGUGACGGUAAUGGGUAAAGAAGCACCGGCUAACUACGUGCCAGCAGCCGCGGUGAUACGUAGGGUGCGAGCGUUGUCCGGAUUUAUUGGGCGUAAAGGGCUCGUAGGUGGUUGAUCGCGUCGGAAGUGUAAUCUUGGGGCUUAACCCUGAGCGUGCUUUCGAUACGGGUUGACUUGAGGAAGGUAGGGGAGAAUGGAAUUCCUGGUGGAGCGGUGGAAUGCGCAGAUAUCAGGAGGAACACCAGUGGCGAAGGCGGUUCUCUGGGCCUUUCCUGACGCUGAGGAGCGAAAGCGUGGGGAGCGAACAGGCUUAGAUACCCUGGUAGUCCACGCUGUAAACGGUGGGUACUAGGUGUGGGGUCCAUUCCACGGGUUCCGUGCCGUAGCUAACGCUUUAAGUACCCCGCCUGGGGAGUACGGCCGCAAGGCUAAAACUCAAAGGAAUUGACGGGGCCCCGCACAAGCGGCGGAGCAUGCGGAUUAAUUCGAUGCAACGCGUAGAACCUUACCUGGGUUUGACAUGGAUCGGGAGUGCUCAGAGAUGGGUGUGCCUCUUUUGGGGUCGGUUCACAGGUGGUGCAUGGCUGUCGUCAGCUCGUGUCGUGAGAUGUUGGGUUAAGUCCCGCAACGAGCGCAACCCUUGUUCACUGUUGCCAGCACGUUAUGGUGGGGACUCAGUGGAGACCGCCGGGGUCAACUCGGAGGAAGGUGGGGAUGACGUCAAGUCAUCAUGCCCCUUAUGUCCAGGGCUUCACGCAUGCUACAAUGGCUGGUACAGAGAGUGGCGAGCCUGUGAGGGUGAGCGAAUCUCGGAAAGCCGGUCUCAGUUCGGAUUGGGGUCUGCAACUCGACCUCAUGAAGUCGGAGUCGCUAGUAAUCGCAGAUCAGCAACGCUGCGGUGAAUACGUUCCCGGGGCUUGUACACACCGCCCGUCAAGUCAUGAAAGUUGGUAACACCCGAAGCCGGUGGCCUAACCGUUGUGGGGGAGCCGUCGAAGGUGGGACUGGUGAUUAGGACUAAGUCAUAACAA